GACGAACGCUGGCGGCGUGCUUAACACAUGCAAGUCGAACGGAAAGGCCCUGCUUUUGUGGGGUGCUCGAGUGGCGAACGCGUGUGUAACACGUGAGUAUCCUGCCCUUGACUUUGGGAUAACUUCAGGAGACUGGGGCUCAUACCCGAUAGGAGCUCCUGAUGCAUGGUGGUGGUUGGAAAGUUUCGGCGGUUGGGGAUGGACUGGCAGCUUAUCAGCUUGUUGGUGGGGUAGUGGCUUACCAAGGGUUUGAGGGGUAGCCGGCCUGGGAGGCGGACCGGCCACAUUGGGCCUGAGAUACGGCGCAGACGCCUACGGGAGGCAGCAGUGGGGAAUAUUGCAGAAUGGGCGGACGCCUGAUGCAGAAGCGCCGCGUGCGGGAUGACGGCCUUCGGGUUGUAAACCGCUUUCGACGGUGACGAAGCGUGAGUGACGGUAAUGGGUAAAGAAGCACCGGCUAACUACGUG
Molecule: ribosomal RNA, 468 nt
Filed under: uncultured bacterium
Lineage: Bacteria
Description: partial 16S ribosomal RNA
Rfam family: Bacterial small subunit ribosomal RNA
Source: RNAcentral